GUCCACGCCGUAAACGAUGAGUGCUAGAUGCUGUGGGUAUUGACCCCCGCGGUGUCGCAGCCAACGCGUUAAGCACUCCGCCUGGGGAGUACGGCCGCAAGGCUAAAACUCAAGGAAUUGACGGGGGCCCCGGCACAAGCGGUGGAGCAUGUGGUUCAAUUCGACGCAACGCGCAGAACCUUACCUGGGUUAAAUCCACUAGAAGGCUACAGAGAUGUGGCUUUGCCCUUCGGGGAGCUAGUGAGAAGGUGCUGCAUGGCUGUCGU
RNAcentral lists this ribosomal RNA (266 nucleotides) under uncultured bacterium. Its description in RNAcentral is "partial 16S ribosomal RNA". It matches the Rfam family "Bacterial small subunit ribosomal RNA", at positions 793 to 1055 of the family's 1533-position model. The record is from RNAcentral.